RNAcentral lists this ribosomal RNA (274 nucleotides) under uncultured bacterium. RNAcentral describes it as "partial 16S ribosomal RNA". It matches the Rfam family "Bacterial small subunit ribosomal RNA", at positions 523 to 796 of the family's 1533-position model. The record is from RNAcentral.
AUACGUAGGAUGCAAGCGUUGUCCGGAUUUACCGGGCGUAAAGGGUGCGUAGGCGGCGUGGUAAGUCUCAUGUGAAAUCUCCCGGCUCAACUGGGAGGGGUCAUGGGAUACUGCCAUGCUCGAGGGCAGUAGAGGAGAGCGGAAUUCCGGGAGUAGCGGUGAUAUGCGUAGAUACCCGGAGGAACACCCGUGGCGAAAGCGGCUCUCUGGACUGUACCUGACGCUAAGGCACGAAAGCGUGGGGAGCAAACCGGAUUAGAAACCCCAGUAGUCC